UACCUACGGGGGGCAGCAGUGGGGAAUUUUGGACAAUGGGCGCAAGCCUGAUCCAGCAAUGCCGCGUGCAGGAUGAAGGCCUUCGGGUUGUAAACUGCUUUUGUACGGAGCGAAAAGGCUCUCUCUAAUACAGGGGGCUCAUGACGGUACCGUAAGAAUAAGCACCGGCUAACUACGUGCCAGCAGCCGCGGUAAUACGUAGGGUGCAAGCGUUAAUCGGAAUUACUGGGCGUAAAGCGUGCGCAGGCGGUUAGGUAAGACAGAUGUGAAAGCCCCGGGCUCAACCUGGGAACUGCAUUUGUGACUGCAUAGCUAGAGUACGGCAGAGGGGGAUGGAAUUCCGCGUGUAGCAGUGAAAUGCGUAGAUAUGCGGAGGAACACCGAUGGCGAAGGCAAUCCCCUGGGCCUGUACUGACGCUCAUGCACGAAAGCGUGGGGAGCAAACAGGAUUAGAUACCCUAGUAGUCUAA
RNAcentral lists this ribosomal RNA (470 nucleotides) under uncultured Comamonadaceae bacterium. RNAcentral's name for it is "bacterial SSU rRNA". It matches the Rfam family "Bacterial small subunit ribosomal RNA", at positions 335 to 798 of the family's 1533-position model. Lineage: Bacteria; Pseudomonadati; Pseudomonadota; Betaproteobacteria; Burkholderiales; Comamonadaceae. The record is from RNAcentral.